GACGAACGCUGGCGGCGUGCCUAAUACAUGCCAGUUGAGCGAUGAAGAUUGGUGCUUGCACCAAUUUGAAGAGCAGCGAACGGGUGAGUAGCGCGUGGGGAAUCUGCCUUUGAGCGGGGGACAACAUUUGGAAACGAAUGCUAAUACCGCAUAACAACUUUAAACAUAAGUUUUAAGUUUGAAAGAUGCAAUUGCAUCACUCAAAGAUGAUCCCGCGUUGUAUUAGCUAGUUGGUGAGGUAAAGGCUCACCAAGGCGAUGAUACAUAGCCGACCUGAGAGGGUGAUCGGCCACAUUGGGACUGAGACACGGCCCAAACUCCUACGGGAGGCAGCAGUAGGGAAUCUUCGGCAAUGGACGAAAGUCUGACCGAGCAACGCCGCGUGAGUGAAGAAGGUUUUCGGAUCGUAAAACUCUGUUGGUAGAGAAGAACGUUGGUGAGAGUGGAAAGCUCAUCAAGUGACGGUAACUACCCAGAAAGGGACGGCUAACUACGUG
Molecule: ribosomal RNA, 497 nt
Filed under: uncultured bacterium
Lineage: Bacteria
Description: partial 16S ribosomal RNA
Rfam family: Bacterial small subunit ribosomal RNA
Source: RNAcentral